ACCCAGCAGCACCUGCAGAUCUGUGGGGAGAGUUCUGGGUCUUUCAGCCUCAAAACUAAACCUGACUCUAAAGCCACAAGCCAUUUCUCUCAGAGGACUCAAACUGAUCUUCAAACACCUGCAGAGUUUGGAAGACACAAUGUUAGUGAAGAUGGUCAGAGCACUGAGGUCAUUUAAGGGUCCAUUUCCACUGACCACAGAUGAGCUUUCACUGAUCACAAAAGACUCAAAGCAAAAUCUUGUCACUUACUAAUGACAAAGUGCUCAUUCGUAUACACAGUCAUUCCUUAAAUGUUGAGCCCCAGCUUUAUUCUGUCCAUCAUUAUGGAGAUUUAUGAGACUCAUUUUCCUUAGUAUGUGUCCAGUCUGAUGAGUUCAAUAGGAAACGACAUUAACCUGAAUGGCAGAGUGUUGGACUCUACAGCACUGCAACACUGUCAAACUCAAUCUGCUCUGGACCUCCAUACCAGAGGAGGAGCUAGAGAGCUUUCUGCCUUU
Long non-coding RNA from Sinocyclocheilus anshuiensis, 498 nucleotides. RefSeq lists it as uncharacterized. The record is from RefSeq and is a predicted model, not a curated record. The transcript has 3 exons. Lineage: Eukaryota; Metazoa; Chordata; Actinopteri; Cypriniformes; Cyprinidae.